UUAAGCGACUAAGCGUACACGGUGGAUGCCCUGGCAGUCAGAGGCGAUGAAGGACGUGCUAAUCUGCGAUAAGCGUCGGUAAGGUGAUAUGAACCGUUAUAACCGGCGAUUUCCGAAUGGGGAAACCCAGUGUGAUUCGUCACACUAUCAUUAACUGAAUCCAUAGGUUAAUGAGGCGAACCGGGGGAACUGAAACAUCUAAGUACCCCGAGGAAAAGAAAUCAACCGAGAUUCCCCCAGUAGCGGCGAGCGAACGGGGAGCAGCCCAGAGCCUGAAUCAGUGUGUGUGUUAGUGGAAGCGUCUGGAAAGGCGCGCGAUACAGGGUGACAGCCCCGUACACAAAAAUGCACAUGCUGUGAGCUCGAUGAGUAGGGCGGGACACGUGGUAUCCUGUCUGAAUAUGGGGGGACCAUCCUCCAAGGCUAAAUACUCCUGACUGACCGAUAGUGAACCAGUACCGUGAGGGAAAGGCGAAAAGAACCCCGGCGAGGGGAGUGAAAAAGAACCUGAAACCGUGUACGUACAAGCAGUGGGAGCACGCUUAGGCGUGUGACUGCGUACCUUUUGUAUAAUGGGUCAGCGACUUAUAUUCUGUAGCAAGGUUAACCGAAUAGGGGAGCCGAAGGGAAACCGAGUCUUAACUGGGCGUUAAGUUGCAGGGUAUAGACCCGAAACCCGGUGAUCUAGCCAUGGGCAGGUUGAAGGUUGGGUAACACUAACUGGAGGACCGAACCGACUAAUGUUGAAAAAUUAGCGGAUGACUUGUGGCUGGGGGUGAAAGGCCAAUCAAACCGGGAGAUAGCUGGUUCUCCCCGAAAGCUAUUUAGGUAGCGCCUCGUGAAUUCAUCUCCGGGGGUAGAGCACUGUUUCGGCAAGGGGGUCAUCCCGACUUACCAACCCGAUGCAAACUGCGAAUACCGGAGAAUGUUAUCACGGGAGACACACGGCGGGUGCUAACGUCCGUCGUGAAGAGGGAAACAACCCAGACCGCCAGCUAAGGUCCCAAAGUCAUGGUUAAGUGGGAAACGAUGUGGGAAGGCCCAGACAGCCAGGAUGUUGGCUUAGAAGCAGCCAUCAUUUAAAGAAAGCGUAAUAGCUCACUGGUCGAGUCGGCCUGCGCGGAAGAUGUAACGGGGCUAAACCAUGCACCGAAGCUGCGGCAGCGACGCUGAUGCGUUGUUGGGUAGGGGAGCGUUCUGUAAGCCUGCGAAGGUGUGCUGUGAGGCAUGCUGGAGGUAUCAGAAGUGCGAAUGCUGACAUAAGUAACGAUAAAGCGGGUGAAAAGCCCGCUCGCCGGAAGACCAAGGGUUCCUGUCCAACGUUAAUCGGGGCAGGGUGAGUCGACCCCUAAGGCGAGGCCGAAAGGCGUAGUCGAUGGGAAACAGGUUAAUAUUCCUGUACUUGGUGUUACUGCGAAGGGGGGACGGAGAAGGCUAUGUUGGCCGGGCGACGGUUGUCCCGGUUUAAGCGUGUAGGCUGGUUUUCCAGGCAAAUCCGGAAAAUCAAGGCUGAGGCGUGAUGACGAGGCACUACGGUGCUGAAGCAACAAAUGCCCUGCUUCCAGGAAAAGCCUCUAAGCAUCAGGUAACAUCAAAUCGUACCCCAAACCGACACAGGUGGUCAGGUAGAGAAUACCAAGGCGCUUGAGAGAACUCGGGUGAAGGAACUAGGCAAAAUGGUGCCGUAACUUCGGGAGAAGGCACGCUGAUAUGUAGGUGAAGCGACUUGCUCGUGGAGCUGAAAUCAGUCGAAGAUACCAGCUGGCUGCAACUGUUUAUUAAAAACACAGCACUGUGCAAACACGAAAGUGGACGUAUACGGUGUGACGCCUGCCCGGUGCCGGAAGGUUAAUUGAUGGGGUCAGCGCAAGCGAAGCUCUUGAUCGAAGCCCCGGUAAACGGCGGCCGUAACUAUAACGGUCCUAAGGUAGCGAAAUUCCUUGUCGGGUAAGUUCCGACCUGCACGAAUGGCGUAAUGAUGGCCAGGCUGUCUCCACCCGAGACUCAGUGAAAUUGAACUCGCUGUGAAGAUGCAGUGUACCCGCGGCAAGACGGAAAGACCCCGUGAACCUUUACUAUAGCUUGACACUGAACAUUGAGCCUUGAUGUGUAGGAUAGGUGGGAGGCUUUGAAGUGUGGACGCCAGUCUGCAUGGAGCCGACCUUGAAAUACCACCCUUUAAUGUUUGAUGUUCUAACGUGGACCCGUAAUCCGGGUUGCGGACAGUGUCUGGUGGGUAGUUUGACUGGGGCGGUCUCCUCCUAAAGAGUAACGGAGGAGCACGAAGGUUGGCUAAUCCUGGUCGGACAUCAGGAGGUUAGUGCAAUGGCAUAAGCCAGCUUGACUGCGAGCGUGACGGCGCGAGCAGGUGCGAAAGCAGGUCAUAGUGAUCCGGUGGUUCUGAAUGGAAGGGCCAUCGCUCAACGGAUAAAAGGUACUCCGGGGAUAACAGGCUGAUACCGCCCAAGAGUUCAUAUCGACGGCGGUGUUUGGCACCUCGAUGUCGGCUCAUCACAUCCUGGGGCUGAAGUAGGUCCCAAGGGUAUGGCUGUUCGCCAUUUAAAGUGGUACGCGAGCUGGGUUUAGAACGUCGUGAGACAGUUCGGUCCCUAUCUGCCGUGGGCGCUGGAGAACUGAGGGGGGCUGCUCCUAGUACGAGAGGACCGGAGUGGACGCAUCACUGGUGUUCGGGUUGUCAUGCCAAUGGCACUGCCCGGUAGCUAAAUGCGGAAGAGAUAAGUGCUGAAAGCAUCUAAGCACGAAACUUGCCCCGAGAUGAGUUCUCCCUGACCCUUUAAGGGUCCUGAAGGAACGUUGAAGACGACGACGUUGAUAGGCCGGGUGUGUAAGCGCAGCGAUGCGUUGAGCUAACCGGUACUAAUGAACCGUGAGGCUUAACCUU
This 2902-nucleotide ribosomal RNA is filed under the name Escherichia coli O104:H4 str. 11-4632 C2. RNAcentral describes it as "bacterial LSU rRNA". It matches the Rfam family "Bacterial large subunit ribosomal RNA". Lineage: Bacteria; Pseudomonadati; Pseudomonadota; Gammaproteobacteria; Enterobacterales; Enterobacteriaceae. The record is from RNAcentral.